This 657-nucleotide ribosomal RNA is filed under the name Triticum aestivum (bread wheat). Its description in RNAcentral is "partial small subunit ribosomal RNA". The record is from RNAcentral. Lineage: Eukaryota; Viridiplantae; Streptophyta; Magnoliopsida; Poales; Poaceae.
AUGGGCGAGUACCUGAACAACUGCAUCGCGGCUGCUCCCCUUCACCACCUCCUCGAGCUUCACGUUGUCCAGCUGAUCGAAUCAACACAAAAUCAGAAAGGAGAACCCCAAUCAGCACCCAAGCGAGAUCUCCGCACCCCCAUAACCGCUCAAGACAGGGGAAACAGAGGAAAGCACAGCAUCGACCAGCAGCACGGCGGCGCGGGGGAAGUAGCGGAAGAUGUGGUCCCCGACGCGCUUGGCGACGGCGGGGAGGUCGGCGUCGUCGCGGCGCGCGUUGGCCUGGUAGUAUCCGACGACGGCGAGGCCCUGCGCCUGGAAGUGGUCCUCGACGAGGGUGAGCGCGAGCUCGAGCGUGGGGAGCAGCGGGAGGUGGUGCGGCUAGUGGGAGAGCGGCACGGCGUCGGCGACCGAGACGACGGCCGGGGAGGCGGCCGGGUCCGCCAGGCGGCCGACGAGGAGCCCGUUGACGGCCGCCGCCGGGUGCUUGAGCGCGUGCAGCUCGAGCUUCACGUACGCCGCCUGCGGCGGCGGACGUGGCGGCGGCGAGCGUGCGCGAGCUCGAGAGGAUGGAUGGAUGGCGGCGGCGAGCGUGCGCGAGCGUGGCGGCGGCGAGAUUGCAUCUGGGGGCGGCGACGAUGGAGUGGGAUGGGAUAG